UACGUAGGGGGCAAGCGUUGUCCGGAUUUAUUGGGCGUAAAGAGCGUGUAGGCGGCCAGACAGGUCCGUUGUGAAAACUCGAGGCUCAACCUCGAGAUGUCGAUGGAAACCGUCUGGCUAGAGUCCGGAAGAGGAGUGUGGAAUUCCUGGUGUAGCGGUGAAAUGCGUUGAUAUCAGGAGGAACACCGAUGGCGAAGGCAGGUCUCUGGGCCACUACUGACGCUGAGAAGCGAAAGCAUGGGGAGCGAACAGG
Molecule: ribosomal RNA, 253 nt
Filed under: uncultured bacterium
Lineage: Bacteria
Description: partial 16S ribosomal RNA
Rfam family: Bacterial small subunit ribosomal RNA
Source: RNAcentral